GGCUGAUAUCAUCAUAUGAUUGGUCCAACAAUGAACAAUUGGUUCCAUUUUCAAUUUCUCCCCCACACCUCCAAAUUCCAAUAACGUCCCCAUUUGUGUCACAGCCCAACUCACUCAAAAGUGUCCUUAUAUAUACACACACAUUAUGCACAUAUGUAUAUUCAUAUAGACAUGCAUAUAUACAAACAGUGAAGAUUGAAGGAGAAAUUUAUAUAUGAGAGCUGCAGCAGCUACUCAAUUCUUGUUGAAUUUGAAUCCAAACCUGAAAAAGACGAACGUGAUUCAUUGUUAUACGAUGUCUGCAUCAAAUCAAGAUUCAUUUUUUGAGCAGCCAAGAUUGGUUACCAAGAAAAUCUUGGCAAAACCUCAAAGUGAAGGUGUUGGUGCUGUAGUUAGAAGAAGCAUUGGAAGGUAUUAUCAAAUCUUAC
RNAcentral lists this long non-coding RNA (428 nucleotides) under Olea europaea subsp. europaea. Lineage: Eukaryota; Viridiplantae; Streptophyta; Magnoliopsida; Lamiales; Oleaceae. The record is from RNAcentral.